This 450-nucleotide ribosomal RNA is filed under the name Haemophilus sp. oral taxon 035. Its description in RNAcentral is "bacterial SSU rRNA". It matches the Rfam family "Bacterial small subunit ribosomal RNA", at positions 30 to 476 of the family's 1533-position model. The record is from RNAcentral. Lineage: Bacteria; Pseudomonadati; Pseudomonadota; Gammaproteobacteria; Pasteurellales; Pasteurellaceae.
AUUGAACGCUGGCGGCAGGCUUAACACAUGCAAGUCGAACGGUAACAGGGAUUAGCUUGCUAAUUUGCUGACGAGUGGCGGACGGGUGAGUAAUGCUUGGGAAUCUGGCUUAUGGAGGGGGAUAACUACGGGAAACUGUAGCUAAUACCGCGUAAAAUCUUCGGAUUAAAGGGUGGGACUUUCGGGCCACCUGCCAUGAGAUGAGCCCAAGUGGGAUUAGGUAGUUGGUUAGGUAAAGGCUGACCAAGCCGACGAUCUCUAGCUGGUUGAGAGGAUGACCAGCCACACUGGAACUGAGACACGGUCCAGACUCCUACGGGAGGCAGCAGUGGGGAAUAUUGCACAAUGGGGGGAACCCUGAUGCAGCCAUGCCGCGUGAAUGAAGAAGGCCUUCGGGUUGUAAAGUUCUUUCGGUGACGAGGAAGGUUGGUAUGUUAAUAGCAUAUCAAA